Molecule: ribosomal RNA, 448 nt
Filed under: uncultured bacterium
Lineage: Bacteria
Description: bacterial SSU rRNA
Rfam family: Bacterial small subunit ribosomal RNA
Source: RNAcentral
GCCAGACUCCUACGGGAGGCAGCAGUGGGGAAUAUUGCACAAUGGGGGGAACCCUGAUGCAGCGACGCCGCGUGAGUGAAGAAGUAUUUCGGUAUGUAAAGCUCUAUCAGCAGGGAAGAAAAUGACGGUACCUGACUAAGAAGCCCCGGCUAACUACGUGCCAGCAGCCGCGGUAAUACGUAGGGGGCAAGCGUUAUCCGGAUUUACUGGGUGUAAAGGGAGCGUAGACGGCAGUGCAAGUCUGGAGUGAAAGGCGGGGGCUCAACCCCCGGACUGCUCUGGAAACUGUACGGCUGGAGUGCAGGAGAGGGAAGUGGAAUUCCUAGUGUAGCGGUGAAAUGCGUAGAUAUUAGGAGGAACACCAGUGGCGAAGGCGGCGUACUGGACUGUAACUGACGUUGAGGCUCGAAAGCGUGGGGAGCAAACAGGAUUAGAUACCCGAGUAAGC